UGGCUCAGUGGUUAAGAGCACUGACUGCUCCUCCAGAGGUCCUGAGUUCAAAUCUCAG
RNAcentral lists this transfer RNA (58 nucleotides) under Rattus norvegicus (Norway rat). Lineage: Eukaryota; Metazoa; Chordata; Mammalia; Rodentia; Muridae. The record is from Rfam by way of RNAcentral.